Molecule: ribosomal RNA, 376 nt
Filed under: uncultured organism
Description: bacterial SSU rRNA
Rfam family: Bacterial small subunit ribosomal RNA
Source: RNAcentral
CAGAGGUGGCAAGCGUUGCUCGGUAUCACUGGGCUUAAAGGGCGCGUAGGCGGUGCGGUACGGUUUCGGUGAAAUCCCUCGGCCCAACCGAGGAACAGCCGGAGCUACGGCCGCACUAGACGGCAUCAGGGGACAGUGGAACUUCCGGUGGAGCGGUGAAAUGCGUAGAUAUCGGAAGGAACGCCGGUGGCGAAAGCGACUGUCUGGGGUGCCUGUGACGCUGAGGCGCGAAAGCCAGGGGAUCAAACGGGAUUAGACUACCCCGGUAGUCCUGGCCCUAAACGAUGCGCACUAGGUAGCGGGAGGUUCCGACUUCCCGCUGCCGGAAGUAAAAAUCUUAAGUGCGCCGCCGUGGGGAGUACGGCCGCAAAGGUUA